This 571-nucleotide ribosomal RNA is filed under the name Peptostreptococcus stomatis. RNAcentral's name for it is "bacterial SSU rRNA". It matches the Rfam family "Bacterial small subunit ribosomal RNA", at positions 379 to 971 of the family's 1533-position model. Lineage: Bacteria; Bacillati; Bacillota; Clostridia; Peptostreptococcales; Peptostreptococcaceae. The record is from RNAcentral.
AAGCCUGAUGCAGCAACGCCGCGUGAACGAUGAAGGUCUUCGGAUCGUAAAGUUCUGUUGCAGGGGAAGAUAAUGACGGUACCCUGUGAGGAAGCCCCGGCUAACUACGUGCCAGCAGCCGCGGUAAUACGUAGGGGGCUAGCGUUAUCCGGAUUUACUGGGCGUAAAGGGUGCGUAGGUGGUCCUUCAAGUCGGUGGUUAAAGGCUACGGCUCAACCGUAGUAAGCCGCCGAAACUGGAGGACUUGAGUGCAGGAGAGGAAAGUGGAAUUCCCAGUGUAGCGGUGAAAUGCGUAGAUAUUGGGAGGAACACCAGUAGCGAAGGCGGCUUUCUGGACUGCAACUGACACUGAGGCACGAAAGCGUGGGUAGCAAACAGGAUUAGAUACCCUGGUAGUCCACGCUGUAAACGAUGAGUACUAGGUGUCGGGGGUUACCCCCUCGGUGCCGCAGCUAACGCAUUAAGUACUCCGCCUGGGGAGUACGCACGCAAGUGUGAAACUCAAAGGAAUUGACGGGGACCCGCACAAGUAGCGGAGCAUGUGGUUUAAUUCGAAGCAACGCGAGAACCU